Molecule: long non-coding RNA, 3014 nt
Organism: Daphnia magna
Lineage: Eukaryota; Metazoa; Arthropoda; Branchiopoda; Diplostraca; Daphniidae
Exons: 3
Source: RefSeq, a predicted model, not a curated record
UUGUUUUAUCGGAAUGUCGGCUACACCACUCUACGGACGCUGUUAUCGAUGUUUAUUUUAUUAUUUUUUUUUAAAUUCCGUUUUCUCUAUUUUUACGAAAGAAAAAUGUGCAAUCGACUCGGCCAAAAGCCCAUCUCCUCUUUUUGAAAACCGGUUGCGUGUGUUGUGUUACGUGUUUCAGCAGCGCAAUGAAAGAAAUGCACAACACGGUGAUUUUCUUAAACCGGUUCGACUUGUUCGCAGAAAAAAUGUCUACAACAAAAAUGCUACACAUUCUGGCGUUACAAUUAAUGUAUGUGUAUGCUGUGCAAAGCAAAGAAUUAUUGACGCAGUUCUCCUCCAUGAAAAACCUGCUGUUUAACGACGAGGUCAAUCGCCAGUCGUACGACAAGUGCAAACAAGUUUUUCUCCUUGCGCGCAAAUCAAGUCGAUUUCCAAAUAGAAAUCACGACGAUCAAUUGCUGAAAAUCGAUGGCAGAAAAUUGAAAGGAAGAGCUCAAAAAUUGUUGUACGCAUGUGACACAUUCACCUGUAAAUUGCGGCAAUCAUUUUUCAUCGAAUUCGGGGCGUGAUUGCCGAACAAUGGCAUCACCACCUCAUGCGCCCGUCAAUCAAACCACCAAAAGAUUGAAUUUACACAAAAUUUCAUCCCAAAAAACAAAGGUUGCGCCACUGAUUGACGCAACCCUCGUGUCCCGCGCGAUUUCUCUUUGACCGCCGACGUUCACCGUGUGAAAAACAAGGACGUGAACAAAAAAACCAGAAAACGGCAACGCGGGACGACCGCGGCAUACGUAAUUGCUUGUUGUAGAUGUGCGUCCAAUAUGAAAAAGAGAGACGCUGUCCGAUCACGCAACUCUUCAUUUUAGUGGGUUCCGUGUAGCUAAUAAUAAUCAACAACAACAACAACUUCCUCCUCCUUUUUUGUUAACUGACUAUUCUCAUCUUGCGAACUAAAAAAGAAAACAAAAACGACUAAACGUCUGUACGUUUACGUCUGUGCGGGAUGUGAAAAUAAACGCAACCUAAAGCUGCACCCAUCUGCAGAUGGGAAAACACGCUACGGCCAUUUGCCCGGGUCACGCACCAAAACAUUUUCAACAGUCCACGUACAAGCGUUUCUCGUUCAUUUUUUUGUGCCCAGUUGAUUCGAACUCCCGAUGUCUGGUGAACUAACCCGACUACAGCACCAAAGUACUUGUCAACUACGUGACCCAAUUUUGUAGUUUUUGUCCUAGAAAAAAAAAAAAAAUAUUUAAAAAGGGAAAAAAAAAAAAAAAAGAAAAACACUUUUGGAAAUCAUUUUGACUAAUGAUGCGAUAUUAUUGUAGUGACGCAAUUCAUUCCUGUUCUUUCCCAAUUUGUUAUUCACGAAAUUCCUGCUCGGGGGUCCUGAAUAAUCAGACCGGUGUUCUCGCCGGCUUCGUGAUUUGGAUGACAAUCGUCACUCUAUCUGGUAGCUAGUGGCGCUUUGUGCAUCACGUGAAACGGGAUUUGAUUCAAUGUGCUUUCGUCCUCCCACUUUUUGCGUUUUUUUUUUCCUUUUUUCUUUUUUCUACACCAACGUGUCCCCUAAGGCUAAAGAAGAAGCAUAGAAACAGCCGGUCACGAAAGACCCACCACGAAUGAUGAAAAGGUCAUCAAACGAGAAACGACAGACAUGACGCUAGUUCAUCACAUCCAACAAAUGACUGACACAAUAAGAAAAAACCUGCGACUUGAGUUGUUAUGACCUCUCGUCUUUCGAAAAACAAACCAGAGCACGUCAUCAUUCAUUCAUCGCCAUUUCUAAUACCAUUAAAAAUUGUUCAAAAAAAAAAAAAUCGAUUGGAAUAACAAUCAAAUGGAAAACCUUCAAUACGAAAACGUUUCCGUCGUUGGCCAGCACGUAUCCAUGGGCCAUACGGCGCAUUUGACGUACACCAUACGGCAACAACUUCCGUCAUUAUCCUUCUCUGUUGGACGUCUCUGUUCUCCACCCCACCGACACAAACUGUUGUUAACAUUUGCACGGCUUCGUCGUCGUCUUCCUCAUUGCCAGACUUGAACGACACACAAUUCUUUUUAAUAGUUUACCCACUCCAUCAGCCCAAUCUAAGGCUUCCCCCCCCCCACACUUUUUUCUUCUUCUACUAUAUUCGAAUGUUAUGGUCUUCGUUUUCUUUACUAGCCGCUUAUUGAACGUAGUACGUCGGCUAUAACCGAUACAUCAAUGUCGAGCCUCUGGCCGAGCAAUCAAUCCACACAUACGCACACUAAAUAAAAAGAAAUGUACGAAACACAAUCAGCCUAUCCACUAUGGGGUAGAGUGAGAACAAGGAUAUUUGUUCAUGAUGCCUUUCUUGUUUUUUUGUUUUUUUUCGGUUGUGAGUUUCGGUAGAGAGUCUUGGUAUCAUGAACAAAAAACUUAUGUAUAGAAUCAGUUGAGCUUGUUAAAAGAUUCAAUCACAAGGCGGAUUGAAGCGGCACCUGAAGCCAUUUUGGACUGACGCGAGGCAAGUAGCAGCCAAUCUACUACACAUCCAGCAGCUGUGUGUGUGUGUGUGUGUGUGUGUCUAUUAUUUUCUUGUGUGUGUAACAGAAAAGGAGUAGUUCUCAAGUAGCCCGAAUCUCAUGAAUCGGAAAUCAAACAACAAGGGCCAACUAAUGAGUUGAAUGGUAUAAUAAUAACAUGAGAAAAAAAUAAAUAAAUAAUCAAAAGCUAUCAGAUUUUUUGAUUUUUUUUUUAGAUAGGAAAUGACGGGAUCAAUGACUUUUACGUGAUUGGAUUUUUUCCCCUUUUAACUUUCUUAACGAACACGAAAAAAUAACAACUAAAUAUGAAGAUUGAAAGCGGAAUUUUUCUGCCCCCCCUCUCUAUUCGUCAAGAGAAGAACUGGUCGAAACACACACACCUGGACAGUUUACCGUUUUGUUCAACUUAUUUACACUUGACUACGUGAUUAAAAUAUUAAAAACAAAAACAAAAACUGUUAAGAUAUCGCCGAUAGGCAAAAUAGUACGAUAGAUGUCGA